AAUAAUAGUCGAUAAAACAUACGGACGUUCCGGUCGGAUGUUACAGUGUGAACGAGUCCGGUGUCUAGCAUCUGGAAAUUUCCACCAGGUGCCGUUCGACGUCACAACUAUGAGGCAAAAUAAUCGAGUCGGUCGAUUCAUGGAGUUUGAAAAGUAAUCGGUUACACUCGAUUAGUCGGGAAAACAAAAUUCCAUUUAAUUGAAAAUCGAUUCAGUGCUCAUGAUGGCACGACCGUCUUUCUACUUAUGAACCGGCACCUCCACCCUGACAUAACCUAAGUGAUUAGUAGUUGCGAAUUUGGUUACGAAUACCGAGACUUACCGUUCGGCUACCUCGCCUAAACAUGACGGUUCCCAAUUCUAAGAACUCAUUUCUUACCUCGCUCGUAUCUGGCGGUGCUGCAGGAACAUUUGUAGAUGUUGCGUUAUUCCCGCUAGAUACUUUAAAAACUCGGCUGCAGAGUCAGAGGGGAUUCCUGCAGUCAGGUGGUUUUACGGGAUUGUAUCAUGGAAUCAAACCAGUUAUACUUGGCUCAGCACCAACCGCUGCAUUGUUUUUUGUGACUUAUGACAGUGUCAAAAUAUUCCUAAAACCAAAAGUUGAUGAGAGGCAUCACUUUCUCAUUUACAUGGGAGGUGCCACUUUCAGUGAAAUGGUAGCCUGUUUAAUAAGAGUACCAGUUGAAGUAGUGAAACAAAGGAAUCAAGCUCUGCUAUAUGGCAAAGAACGUCUUGGUAUAAAGUUACUGUAUCGUGGCUACUGGAGUACAGUUUUGAGGGAUACUCCAUUUAGCCUGUUACAAUUUCCACUGUGGGAAUACUUCAAACACAGUUGGAGCCACAAAGUCGAUAGGGAAUUAAAACCAUGGGAGGGAGCCGUAUGUGGUGCGGUUGCAGGUGGCAUCUCAGCAGCAGUAACUACACCACUGGAUGUAGCAAAAACUAGAAUAAUGCUUUCCAGUGUAACAGUUGGUAGUUCUGAGUUGAAAAUUUUCUUUGUCCUUAGGGCAUUGUACAGAGAAAAAGGAGUGCAAGGGCUAUUCGCUGGUAUUUCGCCACGUGUCGUUUGGAUAACUGCUGGCGGUUUCAUAUUCUUUGGCAUUUAUGAGGAGACAAAAGUUAUAAUGGGAAAAUUAUUUUCAACGAAAACCAGAGUACCUAAUCUAUAAUUGAACUUGUAAACAUGGUUGAUGGUAAAAAUUAUGCGGUGACAUUGAAGCACCUCGGUACAUUUCUUGGGAAUGCAUAGAAUCACGUCGCUGAAACAUCCAUGCCUUUGUCCAUACAAUUUUGUUGAACAUCCAUGCUACUCUCAGUAAAUCAGGAUUGACCCAAUUGUGAAAUUCAAAUAUCGCUGCGUCAAACUAGAUGUUGGGUUGAGGCGGCAAUGUAGACCAGCCAGGUAAGAGAAGCAAUUCACUUUGACCAGAGACGCUCUGGUGUUGAUUACAUUAUAUAUUCCUCAUAGAAUUGGAUACAAAUUUUCCAUUUACUCAUUUAUUACUAUUGAAUUGAACUUAAGUUGAUCGUCGACAUAACCAAAUUUAAAUAUGAAUUUUAAAUACAAUUGGAAAUGAUCUACUGUUCAUCGAACCCUCUGGAAAUGUUUAUCACAUAUAAACACAGAUCGUCGUGACCUGUGGACAUUGCUCAUCAACGAAUGACAUCGACGGUAACAAAUUGUAGAUAGAUUAUGCUAUUGUCUGUUAAUCUUCGUUGCCACUUUAGUUAAGUUCAGUGCAUAAUAAUAUAAGAUUUGUUUAAUGGUAUGCUUAUUAUUUUUUCUUCGAAAACUCUAUUAAACUUAGUUUCACCCAUUUAGUUAAAUUAGAGUCCUCGAAGAAAUAGAAUUUGAAUUUCAUAGAACUAAAGCCAAUUAAUAAAAUCAACCGUACUAGGCCAAUUGGUGCAUUUUAUAUGAAUGAUUGUAUGACGAAUGAAUAUGAUAUAAUGAUUUAUGCCAGCUCAUGAAAAUCUUUAUAUAUAUAUAUAUAUAUAUAUUAUAUUAUAUAUAUUGCAAGUUGAAUAGUCUGUUAAGUUGUGCAGCAUUCUUUUGAUAAAUAAUUGAUGCAAUUUGUUUAAUGUGUUUACCCGUCAUCAUUGUGAAAUAAAUAAUUCAUCAGAUGACAAUUAAAUUGUUACAGUCAGUGUAGGCUGUCAAAAACAAAUCACACUGCAUAUGUAAAAAACAAACACAACAUAAUGCUUUAUUGAUUGUAAAUAUAUAAAUUGACUCCGGUUGAUGUGUAAAAAAAUAUAUCAUGUAUACAUAUUUCUAUAGGAUAUGAUUUAAAAUAUUUUUAAUUAAAUCCUUGCUUAUUUGUUUAUAUAAAAACUUUUUAGUUUUACUUUCUUUAUCUAAUUAUAGAUUAUAUUCUUUACUUUCGAAUUUUUUUAUUAUUUUAUUAUUUUUUACUUUUCGAAUUCAUUUUUAUUUGUAUGAAUCAUGAUUUAUCCUCUCAUUACUUGACUUUACUUGGAAAUAAAUUGUGAGAUCACGCGCACAAAUUACAGGUGAU
Molecule: unclassified non-coding RNA, 2519 nt
Filed under: Neodiprion lecontei (redheaded pine sawfly)
Lineage: Eukaryota; Metazoa; Arthropoda; Insecta; Hymenoptera; Diprionidae
Description: s-adenosylmethionine mitochondrial carrier protein, transcript variant X4
Source: RNAcentral